GAUACAUGCAUGAAGGAGAAAGACGUCGCUGUGGACUGCAUCUCUAGAAAGUCAUGUGCUUUUUGACAUCUGAGGACAAAAGUGAGAUCAGCGCUAAGAAACUCAACUACUCUUCUAAGCAUAUCCAUGAGGCAUUUCCUGCAGUUCUCCCUCUCUCUGCAGCAUCCCCACGGUGGAAAGGAAGAUAAAUGAGCUUGUGGGUUCCUUGAUUCUUAGGUGUAGGAGUUGCAGCGAUCAGGGUUGCACACCUUAACAUCAGUUGCCUUCUGAAUCUUGGCCUACUAUAUACUUUUGCAACAGUCUCCAUAUGCUGCAAAACGAGGCUAUUUUAAAAUCAGGUAAGAGCUGUACUUUUUGGUGAGCACAAGGAUAAAUAUUUAGAAUGCAGUGAGAAGCUAUAAUGCCUUAAGAAACCAUUAUAUAAUAAACCUACUUUUAUCAGU
RNAcentral lists this long non-coding RNA (443 nucleotides) under Rattus norvegicus (Norway rat). RNAcentral describes it as "long non-coding RNA NONRATT023117". Lineage: Eukaryota; Metazoa; Chordata; Mammalia; Rodentia; Muridae. The record is from RNAcentral.